AAAAAAAUUAAAAAUGCAGAAUAUUAAACAAGAAAAGAAAAAAAAUAAAAAGAAAGAAAGAAAGAAAAUUCCAGCCCUUAUCGAACUGGGUGGUUGCUGGGAUUGGGGGCCGUCGAUGACCCCCAAUCCCCAGGACGAGGUGGCCGACAGCCAAUUCAGCUCACUUGACAGUCAAUUCAGCUCGACAAUUACCAAAUCGAAGACAAAGAGACAGAAGAGCCGGAAGAUAACAGUGCAGAUCAAGCCCACAACCCAAAUUAAUCCGCAGAUCGAUGGAUCAAAAUCGAUUGACCCCGAAGGAGUGAAAUCGACUCUCUCUCUCUCUCUCUCUCUCUUCCCCCUCUCUGUGUUUGGUCUCUGCUAUCCCAAUCAGCGUAAUGCUAUCAGAAAGCAACGAGAAUGGAGAUAUUUCUAUAUGUAUCUAUACAUACAUACAUAUAUAUAUAUAUAAGGAAAAUGGAUUAAUUAGUGCAAACUAACAGAAAAAUGUGAUGGGAAUUGUUUAAUGGUGGAUGGAAGAUAGGGAAGGAUGUGGACUUUCUCUCACUAGAAGCAUUCUUCUCUUCAUGGUGCGCAUAUGACAGUUUGUGUGGCAAAUCCCUUAUGCAAGAAGCCAGCUCGAUUCGAACAAGAAGGCCAUGACCCUCAUCCCGGGGUGGCGGCCGACGUCAAGGCCCCCACCUAGUCGGAGAAGGGUUGGGGCUUUCUUUCUUUCUUUCUUUAUUUUUUUAAUUUUUGUUUUCUUUUCAUGUUUAAUAUUAUGUGAUUUUUAAUUUUUUCUAAUAAAAAAUCGACACGUGGACAAUUUAUAGCCA
Punica granatum (pomegranate) is the source of this 815-nucleotide non-coding RNA. The record is from RefSeq and is a predicted model, not a curated record. NCBI's taxonomy places the organism in Eukaryota, Viridiplantae, Streptophyta, Magnoliopsida, Myrtales, Lythraceae.